UACGGAAGGUCCAGGCGUUAUCCGGAUUUAUUGGGUUUAAAGGGAGCGUAGGCGGCCUGUUAAGCGUGUUGUGAAAUGUAGAGGCUCAACCUCUGCACUGCAGCGCGAACUGGCGGGCUUGAGUUGGCUGAAAGUAUGCGGAAUUCGUGGUGUAGCGGUGAAAUGCUUAGAUAUCACGAAGAACUCCGAUUGCGAAGGCAGCAUGCUGUAGCCUUACUGACGCUGAAGCUCGAAGGGGCGGGUAUCGAACAGG
Molecule: unclassified non-coding RNA, 253 nt
Filed under: uncultured Prevotellaceae bacterium
Lineage: Bacteria; Pseudomonadati; Bacteroidota; Bacteroidia; Bacteroidales; Prevotellaceae
Description: contains 16S-23S intergenic spacer region
Rfam family: Bacterial small subunit ribosomal RNA
Source: RNAcentral